UGGCUUGGUUUCCUGGGAGGUGAGCUCAGCAUACCCCAUUUCCCUUCAGCCAAGCCUAGAUGAGAGAGGCCAGGCAUCCUCCCUGUGCAAGAGGCAUUCAAAUAAGGGGUCUCACCUGGGCUAUCCAAGCCUCACAUUA
Molecule: small nucleolar RNA, 139 nt
Organism: Otolemur garnettii (small-eared galago)
Lineage: Eukaryota; Metazoa; Chordata; Mammalia; Primates; Galagidae
Source: Ensembl